UACGAAGGGGGCUAGCGUUGUUCGGAAUUACUGGGCGUAAAGCGCGCGCAGGCGGUUUUUCAAGUCAGUGGUGAAAGCCCGGAGCUCAACUCCGGAACUGCCAUUGAAACUGUAAAACUUGAGGAUGAGAGAGGCAAGUGGAAUUCCCGGUGUAGCGGUGAAAUGCGCAGAUAUCGGGAGGAACACCAGUGGCGAAGGCGAGUCUCUGGGAUGAUGCUGACGCUGAGGCGCGAAAGCCAGGGGAGCAAACGGG
RNAcentral lists this ribosomal RNA (253 nucleotides) under uncultured bacterium. RNAcentral describes it as "partial 16S ribosomal RNA". It matches the Rfam family "Bacterial small subunit ribosomal RNA", at positions 524 to 776 of the family's 1533-position model. The record is from RNAcentral.